CCUACGGGAGGCAGCAGUGGGGAAUAUUGGGCAAUGGGCGCAAGCCUGAACCAGCAAAGCCGCGUGAAGGAAGAAGGCUUUAGGGUUUUAAACUUCUUUUUAGAGGGCAGAGCAGAAAACGGUACCUCUUGAAUAAGCCACGGCGAACUACGUUCCAGCAGCCGCGGUAGUACGUAGGUGGCCAGCGUUGUCCGGAUUUACUGGGUGUAAAGGGUGUGUAGCCUGGCUGACAAGUCAGCUGUGAAAUUCCGGGGCUCAACCCCGGACCUGCAUUUGAAACUGGUGGUCUUGAGUAUCGGAGAGGCAGGCGGAAUUCGUAGUGUAGCGGUGAAAUGCGUAGAUAUUAGGAGGAACACCAGUGGCGAAGGCGGCCUGCUGGACGACAACUGACGGUGAGGCGCGAAAGCGUGGGGAGCAAACAGGAUUAGAUACCCUAGUAGUC
RNAcentral lists this ribosomal RNA (442 nucleotides) under uncultured bacterium. RNAcentral describes it as "partial 16S ribosomal RNA". It matches the Rfam family "Bacterial small subunit ribosomal RNA", at positions 338 to 795 of the family's 1533-position model. The record is from RNAcentral.